GGAUUGGGCAGCACUGGGAGGGGCCAAAGAAAGAGUAAUGGGUGGCGGUGAAUAUGAUCAAAAUACUUUAGCUAGCUUCGUUGAAUGCCAUAACAGAACUCCUUAUAUAAAUUAAUAUAGCUAGUUAGAAGUAAGACAGAGAAGAAUAUUCCUGGGUAAAGAAAGCUUGUAAGUCUCAAUCUGUGGCUAAGAAGGGCCUGGAUUUGGUCAAGGAGAGGUGGAAAGUCUCUCCAAAUUGAGCACUAACGGGGAUGCAAGCGUAUUUUGUAUCCUAAAUUAUGGGCCACAUGAGACCAGCUGCCCCUCACAUUUCCUCCUUGGUAAGACAUUUUCUAUAAUAUGGGGGCAUUGUGGCAGCAGAAAGGCUUCUUGGCUGAGUAUGAAACAGAACCCAGGAACCCCCAUUGUCGCAAGUGGGAUGUCUCAUGAUGCCACAUGCUAGUGACUGACGAUGAUACAUCCUUCGGGGGGGGGAGGGUCAAGAACCUGGCAGGCUGUCUGGGGCCUUUCUCUCACAAGGAAAUUACAGCCCACACUUAGUGCUCACUCUGCCAGGCACGAUGCGUUAGAUAUUUCCUACGUCAUUUGCCGAGUGGGCUUAUGAGUAACAGUGACUAUUUUGAGUGUUCACAGUGUACUCGUCAGGUAGUGUUAAUACCAUGCCUCAUUUAACCCUCACCGGACUCCUCCUAUGUAAGACAGUCUCACCAUCAUCCUAUGUCUCCCACUUUCACCUGAGCUGAGCAAUUGUUCAGGGUCAGAGGGAUCAUUUGCUGAUCCUGUUGGCUAUACCACACUUCCUUAUUGCAACAGUGCUGUGGGAUGCCCUUCUGUAUGUUGUGAAUAGUAUUGCUUUUACUGGUUGAUAAAUAAAGCUGAUUUGGCCAAUGGCCAGGCAGAAUUGAGCCGGGCAAGAAAUCCAAACAAGAUAUGGAGAGAAAGAAGGUGGAGUCAGGGAGACACCAUAUAGCCGCCGGAGAAGCAAGUUUUUGGUCCACAAAAUGGCUCAGCUGACAAAGCGCCUGUCACCGACAAUGCAAGCCUAAAGACCUGAGUUUGACCUCUGGGGUCAACAUUAAGGUGGAAGGAGAAGACAGGCUCCACAAAUCCGACCCUUCACCUACAAAUGUGUGCUGCCGUAUAUACAACCCCCCUACACAUAUACACAAUAGUAACGACAAACUCAUUAUUUCCCGCUUUUGACUGUUUGAGAUCUACCGCAAUGAGCACCCUGCCACAGGCUUUGUUGGGAACAUCCACAUGUGUUUCUCUAGGAUAGAAGUUGACUCAAGGGAAAGAUCACCUCAGAUUUCGGUUUACAAGACCAAAUCGUCUUUCCACGUGGGUGUUGCAAUGUACAGUUCCAGCAGUGAGGAAGAAUUAAUGACAACGAAUGGCAGGUACACAGAGUUGGGGGGAGACUGUGUCCUUUUGAAUAGGAUUCUCCAGGUGGAUCUCAUUGGCCAGAUGGGAUUUGAGAAGAGGCCCAAGGAGGAGCAGAGACCCAUGGUUCCUGGAGGGAAGCAUUCCAGAUGGAAGGCUCAGCAGGCACAAAGGCUCUGAGGUGGCAGCCUGGUUGUUUGGGGACAUGGAGGUCACAUUGGGUGGGACAGAAGGAGCGUGUGCUUGGGAGGUAGAGAAGGGAGAUGGUGCAGAUGGUGACAGGGCCUUGAUGCCAGGGUGAGAACCUUGGCUUUUAUGCCGAGUGCAAGAGGGAGAUGGCAAAGCUCUCAGGAUCAAUGUGAUUCGACCUCAGGUAAAAGAUGAAAUAAUUAUCAAGACAAAAUUGACACAUAAUAAAAUGCCACUUAAACCACA
Molecule: non-coding RNA, 1818 nt
Organism: Cricetulus griseus (Chinese hamster)
Lineage: Eukaryota; Metazoa; Chordata; Mammalia; Rodentia; Cricetidae
Source: RefSeq, a predicted model, not a curated record